This 2273-nucleotide long non-coding RNA is filed under the name Mytilus galloprovincialis (Mediterranean mussel). The record is from RNAcentral. Lineage: Eukaryota; Metazoa; Mollusca; Bivalvia; Mytilida; Mytilidae.
AAUAAAUUAAAAUAUACAAUACUUAUAAUAUAUAUUUAACAUAUCACAACAAUAAGUUAUAACAAAAUAGAUUAUAUAGAACAUUGUUGAUUGCAAAAUAGUGUGAAUUUAUAAUUAUCAUUUAUAACAUGCAACAAAAAAAUAAUGUGGACCUUACAAGUUUGUAAAAACUUGCAUAUGAUAUAACUAUGAUCAGCUAGUAAUUUAUUUAAUAUUUGCAUAAAUAACAUAGAAUCCAUCAUUCUCUAUAGUGACCAUGGAAAGAUUUAUUUUAUCUGGGCUAAAAGUCAGCUAUGUAUAAUGCUUGAAAUUAAAUAAAAUCUUGAUCUAUCAUCAGAGAACAAAGAAUUCUAACAUGUGGCUAAACAUAUAGCUUCUCAUAUGUUUGUGUAAUGUUUGAAGUUUAUCACAUCCUAAUGUAUUGCAGAACAGAACAUCCUAAAACUGGACUAGACUUUAGCUAUGUAUAAUGCUGGAAGCUACCUAGUAAUCAUUUCUAUAUGAAUAAUAGAAAAAAAAUGCUAUAAACUAGACUACAAAAUUAGUUAUAUAUCUAUAAUGCUUGAAGUUAAUAAGAUCUAAAUGUAUUAUAAAACAAAAUGCUCUAAAACUUGACUAGAAGUUAGCUAUGUCUUAUUCUUGAAGUUAAUCAGAUCUAUAAGUAAUAUUAAACAAAAUGCUCUAAAAUUUGACUAGAACUUAGCUAAGUAUAAUUCUUGAAGUUAAUAAGAUCUAAAUGUAUUAUAAAACAAAAUGCUCUCAACUUGACUAGCAGUUAGCUAUGUCUUAUUCUUAAAGUUAAUCAGAUCUAUAAGUAAUAUUAAACAAAAUGCUCUCAAACUUGACUAGAAGUUAGCUAUGUCUUAUUCUUGAAGUUAAUCAGAUCUAUAAGUUAUAUUAGAUAAAAUGCUCUAAAAUUUGACUUGAACUUAGCUAUGUAUAAUUCUUGAAGUUAAUCAGAUCUAUAUGUUAUAAAACAAAAUACCCUAAAACUUAAAUGUGUCAAUCACCUACUAGGUAUGUAGUUGUCCAAGUAAGCUACAACUAUAAAUGUGACAAUCAAGUAGAAUGGUCCUAAAAAUGAAAGCUAAAUCUUCUUUCUAUAAGAUAUGCAGGAGAAGCAAGGGGUAUAAUCUUUUUUUCUUAAAAAAGACUUUGUUGGCAAGAUGGGACUGAAAUGAUAAACAUGUAAUUAUAGAUUAUCGUUAGUCAUUGUUUUUCUCGCUUGAGCUGCUACAGCAAAAGUGAGAAAAGCAAUCAAGUUGAGAUGACCAAUGAUAAUCUGUUUAUCGCUAUUUUACCUAUGACAUGUGGGCCCUUAGUUCUAGCAAUAAUUUUUCAUAUCACUAGACUGUGCUGUGAAAGGAAAUUAUCUGUCAGCAAAAUCAUAGGAAAUUUUCGUAAAAUAGCUAUUACUGUAAAUUCAGAAAUUAUUGCGUGCAUUUAUUAUUGCAAUUUUUUCAUUUUAAACUAAAAUGCUAUUUUAAUUUUUGCGAUAGUGAAACAAAUUCAGUUUUAUUCUUAUAAAAAAAAGUCAAACUGAGUUUAAACUAUUGCGAUUACAACCCAGUCGCAUUUUUCGCAAUAAUAAAAACAAUGCAAUAAUAUCUGAAUUUAUACUAUUCUUUUUAUCUGUUGUUGAAAGCUGAAAUACUCUCAAACUGAUCUUUCAUUUACUGGAAAAUUAAAAUGAUAAAUUUGUUGUUAGCUAUUUGAUUAAUAAAAAAUGUUACAAAAAUUAGAUGCUUUUUGAUUAUAUGUGGUAUUGGGUUGCUUAGUUCUUUUGAAACUGCUUACAGACUAAAACAUAUUGUAAAUCUUUCUUGCUACGGCACUUUAUACAUUUAUAUUUGCGUACUAUGUCCUAUUUAUUUAAUACAUUCAUCAGGGAUGUUACUUUACUUUCUACACAUUUGAAAUCCAGGGGGAGGGGGGAUAAAUAAAGGCAACAGUAGUAUACCUCUGUUCAAAACUCAUAAAUCCUCAUUAAUAGACGUAAACUUGCUACUGACAUUUCUAGAAACAUUAACCUACUGUAACUGAAAAUUGCCUUAAACUUUAUUUCCCCUGUCUAUAACCUACUGACUAGUUGUUAUGCAUCAAUGUGCAUAUAUUUCAAUAUCUUAUAAUUCACAAGUAAGUACAUGUAAUUUUCAUAAAACUGAAUAGAUUAUCAACAUUGUCAGCUUGUGACUAUAGAACUGUUACAAUAUAAAUUUACAAUGCAAAAACAACAACAUGUAUGGCACUUACUGUUAAAAAUCUAUUCUGUA